GAUUCAGCAGCAAACAUCAAUUUUCACCUCAUCAUAAAAGAAAUUAGGAUUUCACAUCUGUAUCUCUCAAUUUCGCGGCAAUCAACAUAAUGGAUGUGAUGGAGAGAAGCAGAGAUUCACCUGGAUAUGAACAGAAACUUCGAGAGGACUACGAACAGAGCUCUGCUGAUGGGGAAGAGGAAAUGAGGAGUAAAGGCGAACGGUUAUACGCUCGUUUUGGGCGAAGAAGGACAAGAACCGAAGAACGCCAAACUCAUAAACGAGUCAGCUAAGACCCUG
Molecule: unclassified non-coding RNA, 279 nt
Filed under: Hevea brasiliensis (rubber tree)
Lineage: Eukaryota; Viridiplantae; Streptophyta; Magnoliopsida; Malpighiales; Euphorbiaceae
Source: RNAcentral